RNAcentral lists this ribosomal RNA (694 nucleotides) under gamma proteobacterium IMCC15138. Its description in RNAcentral is "bacterial SSU rRNA". It matches the Rfam family "Bacterial small subunit ribosomal RNA", at positions 45 to 737 of the family's 1533-position model. The record is from RNAcentral. Lineage: Bacteria; Pseudomonadati; Pseudomonadota; Gammaproteobacteria.
GGCCUAACACAUGCAAGUCGAGGGCGAAAACACUUCGGUGUGAGUAGAGCGGCGGACGGGUGAGUAAUGCUUGGGAAUCUGCCCAGUAGUGGGGGAUAACGUGUGGAAACGCACGCUAAUACCGCAUACGUCCUACGGGAGAAAGCAGGGGAUCUUCGGACCUUGCGCUAUUGGAUGAGCCCAAGUCGGAUUAGCUAGUUGGUGGGGUAAUGGCCUACCAAGGCGACGAUCCGUAGCUGGUCUGAGAGGAUGAUCAGCCACACUGGGACUGAGACACGGCCCAGACUCCUACGGGAGGCAGCAGUGGGGAAUAUUGCACAAUGGGCGAAAGCCUGAUGCAGCCAUGCCGCGUGUGUGAAGAAGGCUCUAGGGUUGUAAAGCACUUUCAGUAGGGAGGAAAAGCUUAAGGUUAAUAACCUUGAGCCCUGACGUUACCUACAGAAGAAGCACCGGCAAACUCCGUGCCAGCAGCCGCGGUAAUACGGAGGGUGCGAGCGUUAAUCGGAAUUACUGGGCGUAAAGCGCGCGUAGGUGGUUUGAUAAGCUAGCUGUGAAAGCCCCGGGCUCAACCUGGGAACUGCAGUUAGAACUGUCUGACUAGAGUACAGUAGAGGGUGGCGGAAUUUCCUGUGUAGCGGUGAAAUGCGUAGAUAUAGGAAGGAACAUCAGUGGCGAAGGCGGCCACCUGGACUGA